UAUAUACUCCCUACGUCCGGAAAUACUCGUCGGAGAAGUGGAUACAAAUGGAUGUAUUUAGAACUAAAAUAUAUCUAGAUACAUCCAUUCUACGGACAAGUAUUUGCGAACGGAGGGAGUAGAAA
Molecule: non-coding RNA, 125 nt
Organism: Triticum aestivum (bread wheat)
Lineage: Eukaryota; Viridiplantae; Streptophyta; Magnoliopsida; Poales; Poaceae
Source: Rfam